ACCCCACUAUGCCAAGCCGUAAAAUCAACUCACACUACUAACGCCAGGGGAUUACGAGCUCUAGCUUAAAACCCAAAGGACUUGACGGUGUCCCAUCCUACUAGAGGAGCCUGUUCUAUAAUCGAUGACCCACGCUAUACCUAACCAUUUUUUGCCUUUCAGCCUGUAUACCUCCGUCGCAAGCCUACCAUAUGAAUGAAUUAUAGUAGGCCCAAUAGCCUAAACGCUACAACGUCAGGUCAAGGUGCAGCUUAUAAAAUGGGUGAAAUGAGCUACAAUUUCUAACCUAGAACAAACGAAUUACUAUAUGAAACACAGUCAUAAAGGCGGAUUUAGCAGUAAAUGCGGAAUAGAGAGCCCCAUUAAAUCUGGCCCUGGGACGUGUACACACCGC
Molecule: ribosomal RNA, 394 nt
Filed under: Philautus sp. C EW-2017
Lineage: Eukaryota; Metazoa; Chordata; Amphibia; Anura; Rhacophoridae
Description: partial small subunit ribosomal RNA
Rfam family: Bacterial small subunit ribosomal RNA
Source: RNAcentral